Molecule: ribosomal RNA, 2109 nt
Filed under: hydrothermal vent metagenome
Description: bacterial LSU rRNA
Rfam family: Bacterial large subunit ribosomal RNA
Source: RNAcentral
AUAAGCUAAAUAAGGGCGUAUGGAGGAUGCCUAGGCUCUCAGAGGCGAAGAAGGACGUGAUAAGCUGCGAAAAGCUACGGGGAUUGGCACAUACAAAUUGAUCCGUAGAUAUCCGAAUGGGGCAACCCACUAUGUUGAAGACAUAGUACCACGCUUGCGUGGAGCAAACCCGGUGAACUGAAACAUCUAAGUACCCGGAGGAAAGGACAGCAACAGCGACUCCCUCAGUAGCGGCGAGCGAACGGGGACCAGCCGAGCCGAGAAUGUGACCAGAACAGGUUGGAAAGCCUGACCAUAGUGGGUGACAGUCCCGUAUGGGAAGCAUGAUCGGACGUAUCAAGUAGGGCGGGACACGUGAAAUCCUGUCUGAAGAUCGGAGGACCACCUUCGAAGGCUAAGUACUCCUUACUGACCGAUAGUGAACCAGUACCGUGAGGGAAAGGUGAAAAGCACCCCGACGAGGGGAGUGAAACAGUACCUGAAACCGAGCGCCUACAAUCAGUCGGAGCCCCCUUGCGGGGUGACGGCGUACCUUUUGUAUAAUGGGUCAUCGACUUGGUCUCACGAGCAAGCUUAAGCCGUUAGGUGUAGGCGCAGCGAAAGCGAGUCUGAAUAGGGCGUCGAGUUCGUGGGAUCAGACCCGAAACCGAGUGAUCUAGGCAUGUCCAGGAUGAAGACAAGGUAACACUUGUUGGAGGUCCGAACCCACACCUGUUGAAAAAGGUCGGGAUGAGGUGUGCCUAGGGGUGAAAGGCCAAUCAAACUCGGAGAUAGCUGGUUCUCCGCGAAAUCUAUUUAGGUAGAGCGUCAUCCGAAUACCCCGGGGGGUAGAGCACUGGAUGGGUAAUGGGGCCCCACAGGCUUACUGAUCCUAACCAAACUCCGAAUACCCGGGAGUACUAGAUGGCAGACACACGGCGGAUGCUAACGUCCGUCGUGGAGAGGGAAACAACCCUGACCUCCAGCUAAGGCCCCCAAUUCAUGGCUAAGUGGGAAAGCAGGUGGGACGACCAAAACAACCAGGAGGUUGGCUUAGAAGCAGCCAUCCUUUAAAGAUAGCGUAACAGCUCACUGGUCUAAACAAGUUGUCCUGCGGCGAAGAUGUAACGGGGCUCAAGCCAUGAGCCGAAGCUGAGGAUGCCGUAAGGCAUGGUAGCGGAGCGUAGUGUGACAUAGUUCACUGUCUCCUUAGCGGGUUCGCCCGCAUUGGAGACAGGGAGCUUUCUGUGAAGCGGGCGCGUGAGCGAUCCCGUGGAGAGAUCACUAGCGAGAAUGAUGACAUGAGUAGCGACAAAGAGUGUGAGAGACACUCUCGCCGAAAGUCCAAGGGUUCCUGCUUAAAGCUAAUCUGAGCAGGGUAAGCCGGCCCCUAAGUCGAGGCAGAAAUGCGUAGACGAUGGGAAUCAGGUUAAUAUUCCUGAGCCAGGAGGAUGUGACGGAUCCUGACGGUUGUUCACCCUUAUCGGAUUGGACGAGCCGCUUAGGGGUUCCAGGAAAUAGCCCUCCGUUAGAUCGUACCCUAAACCGACACAGGUGGAUAGGUAGAGAAUACCAAGGCGCUUGAGAGAACCACAUUUAAGGAACUCGGCAAAAUACCUCCGUAAGUUCGCGAGAAGGAGGCCCGGGUAGGACGCAAGUCUUAUUCGGGGGCACAAACCAGGGGGUGGCGACUGUUUACUAAAAACACAGGGCUCUGCGAAGUCGCAAGACGACGUAUAGGGUCUGACGCCUGCCCGGUGCCUGAAGGUUAAAUGGAGGAGUGCAAGCUCCGAAAUGAAGCCCAGGUAAACGGCGGCCGUAACUAUAACGGUCCUAAGGUAGCGAAAUUCCUUGUCGGGUAAGUUCCGACCUGCACGAAUGGCGUAACGACUUCCCCGCUGUCUCGAAUGUGGACUCAGCGAAAUUGAAAUACCUGUCAAGAUGCAGGUUUCCCGCGGUUAGACGGAAAGACCCCGUGCACCUUUACUACAGCUUCACACUGGCAUCAGGCCAAGCAUGUGCAGGAUAGGUGGUGGGCUUUGAAACCAAAACGCCAGUUUUGGUGGAGCCUCCCUUGAGAUACCACCCCUGCUUCGCUUGAUGUCUAACCGCGGUCCGUUAUCCGGAUCC